This is a long non-coding RNA of Rhipicephalus microplus (southern cattle tick), 545 nucleotides long. The record is from RefSeq and is a predicted model, not a curated record. Lineage: Eukaryota; Metazoa; Arthropoda; Arachnida; Ixodida; Ixodidae.
CAUUCAAGGGCUGCGAUACAACGACCAGCGUAAAUAUGCGCGAUGGGCUUCAGCCGCUUUCAUGAAGGAAUACACUAAGAGGGCCAUGUGUCUACGACAAAUGCACAGAAGCGUCGAACGACAGAAGGCUCGUCAGGAGUUGAGCAACUUCUACGACUCUGAAAACCUGGCCGACCUCGUUGGCGUGAAAAUAGCGUACGACGGCUUCUCUUCAUUGCCGCGGAGCCAGCGGACGCGUAUUUUGAGCGGCACGAACAUCACAGCAGAACGUCUGUACUUUAUUUCUCACUGUGUGAAGUGGUGCAGAGAGGUUCAAUUUGGAUCGGGACGAUACGCUCCAGACCGGUCCCGGUGCAUCGUUCCUUUGAUGAACAUGCCGGAAUUCUCAAAGGCCUUUGAGUGCGCUGCAGGAGACCUCAUGAAUCCCACAGAAAAGUGCGGAUUCUGGGCGUAAAAUGACGGUAAUCUACCUAUAGUUCGAUGCUUAUGUAUGUAUGUUCCGCAACACGCGAAAAUUGUUUGGAGAAGCUAAUAAACAAUCAUAA